RNAcentral lists this ribosomal RNA (253 nucleotides) under uncultured bacterium. RNAcentral's name for it is "partial 16S ribosomal RNA". It matches the Rfam family "Bacterial small subunit ribosomal RNA", at positions 524 to 776 of the family's 1533-position model. The record is from RNAcentral.
UACGAAGGUGGCAAGCGUUACUCGGAAUUCCUAGGCGUAAAGGGCAGGUAGGUGGUUCGGUAAGUCUGUUGUGUAAGCUCCCGGCUUAACUGGGAGAGGUCAACAGAAACUACCGGACUUGAGUAUAGGAGAGGGUACUGGAAUUCCCGGUGUAGCGGUGAAAUGCGCAGAGAUCGGGAGGAACACCAAUGGCGAAAGCAGGUACCUGGACUAUUACUGACACUAAGCUGCGAAAGCUAGGGGAGCAAACAGG